UACGUAGGGUGCAAGCGUUGUCCGGAAUUAUUGGGCGUAAAGAGCUCGUAGGCGGUGUGUCACGUCGGCCGUGAAAACCUGCAGCUUAACUGUGGGCGUGCGGUCGAUACGGGCAGGCUGGAGUUCGGUAGGGGAGACUGGAAUUCCUGGUGUAGCGGUGAAAUGCGCAGAUAUCAGGAGGAACACCGGUGGCGAAGGCGGGUCUCUGGGCCGAUACUGACGCUGAGGAGCGAAAGCGUGGGGAGCGAACAGG
RNAcentral lists this ribosomal RNA (253 nucleotides) under uncultured bacterium. RNAcentral's name for it is "partial 16S ribosomal RNA". It matches the Rfam family "Bacterial small subunit ribosomal RNA", at positions 524 to 776 of the family's 1533-position model. The record is from RNAcentral.